RNAcentral lists this long non-coding RNA (665 nucleotides) under Lathyrus oleraceus (garden pea). RNAcentral's name for it is "Pisum sativum (pea) long non-coding RNA (PSAT_LNC038115)". The record is from RNAcentral. Lineage: Eukaryota; Viridiplantae; Streptophyta; Magnoliopsida; Fabales; Fabaceae.
CACAAUCUCAUGCUGGGGAAACUGAUGAUCCUGGAUACAUUCAUAAGGAAAAUCCUGUUUUGGGGAACACUGAGCUUCGCUCUUCAAGAUCUUACCAUCCUUGAGAUCACUGUUGACAUUCCUAUUAUAUAUUCAUAAAUUGAGGAAAAUAUUUUUGUAAAUUUCAAAAACAUGAUUGUUUAUAUAUCUUUUGUUUCAAAAAUUAUUAUAAAAAAUAAAUAAAGUUUCGUAAACUGAAACAAGAUAGGAACAACAAACAAAUGGGAAAACUCAGUUGCAAUAUCCAUCAUUUAGCUUGCAACAAGCCUUCCAUCAACAUGAAGCAAAAACAAUCCAAACAUCAAGCAUGCAAACCUUGAACAUAAACAUGCAAUUAAACCACAUAACAAAAGCAUGCUAAACCUGCUACAAGACUUUGUAGCCAUUCAAACCUGAACAAAUAAGCAUCAUCAAUCUGCACCAUGAGCCACAAGUCCAUUCUGCAAUGCUGCAUCACACCCAAAGUCAAAAGCAACACAUGAACCUACAAAUGCAAGCCUAUAACUUGUUAUGCAUUAGCCAAGACCACAAACAUCCUAUUGCAACACUAUAUAAAACCUUCAAAACAAGGAUCUAACAUUGCAAAGUAGGCAGCAGGUUGCAAUAACCUUCAUUCAUCCAUCGUG